UACGAAGGGGGCUAGCGUUGUUCGGAUUUACUGGGCGUAAAGCGCACGUAGGCGGGUCGUUAAGUCAGGGGUGAAAUCCCGGAGCUCAACUCCGGAACUGCCUUUGAUACUGAAGAUCUUGAGUUCGGGAGAGGUGAGUGGAACUGCGAGUGUAGAGGUGAAAUUCGUAGAUAUUCGCAAGAACACCAGUGGCGAAGGCGGCUCACUGGCCCGAUACUGACGCUGAGGCACGAAAGCGUGGGGAGCAAACAGG
RNAcentral lists this ribosomal RNA (253 nucleotides) under uncultured bacterium. RNAcentral's name for it is "partial 16S ribosomal RNA". It matches the Rfam family "Bacterial small subunit ribosomal RNA", at positions 524 to 776 of the family's 1533-position model. The record is from RNAcentral.